Molecule: ribosomal RNA, 395 nt
Filed under: uncultured bacterium
Lineage: Bacteria
Description: bacterial SSU rRNA
Rfam family: Bacterial small subunit ribosomal RNA
Source: RNAcentral
GUGUCAGCCGCCGCGGUAAUACGUAGGAUGCAAGCGUUGUCCGGAAUUAUUGGGCGUAAAGCGAACGUAGGCGGCCUUUUAAGUUUGGUCUUAAAGACCAGGGCUCAACCCUGGGAAUGGACUGAAUACUGGGAGGCUAGAGGACGUCAGAGGAAAGUGGAAUUCCAAGUGUAGCGGUGAAAUGCGUAGAUAUUUGGAGGAACACCAGUGGCGAAAGCGACUUUCUGGGACGUUACUGACGCUGAGGUUCGAAAGCUCGGGGAGCAAACAGGAUUAGAUACCCUGGUAGUCCGAGCCGUAAACGAUGGAUACUAGGUGUUGUGGGUAUCGACUCCCACAGUGCCGUAGCUAACGCGUUAAGUAUCCCGCCUGGGGAGUACGGUCGCAAGACUGAA